This 3927-nucleotide ribosomal RNA is filed under the name Triticum aestivum (bread wheat). RNAcentral describes it as "partial small subunit ribosomal RNA". Lineage: Eukaryota; Viridiplantae; Streptophyta; Magnoliopsida; Poales; Poaceae. The record is from RNAcentral.
UCGGCGGCCUCGGCGGGGCGGCGCGGAAGCGGCGGAGGGGCCGACGUCGAACCGGCGGCGGUGAGGCGGAGGCGGUGCGGCGUUGAGGCGGCCUCAGCGUUCAUUCAAAGAUAUGAGUCUCUGGUUCGUUUGUUUAAAGUAUAAGACGGUCGUAUAUGAGUCUCUGUUUAUCGACGGUAGUCCUAAGGACUUUAAAUACUCCUGUAUAACUUAAUCACUCCUAAAGUAUUUAAAAAUCAGGUUCGUUGAGUAUGUAAACUUCAAAACAACGAAUGGAAGGGUAGGGUAACACAACGAUACGAGGACUUCAACGGAUUGAUGUCCUUUUCCUCCGGUUUCAUAGCCGUCGCUACAAAACAAAACACUCUUGAUGAGUUUAUAUAUUAGAUUUAUAUGAUCGACCUACAAGCCGAUGUAAGUAAUACGGAAAGCCAUUUGAACUACAACCUACUAUGGUGACCUACAUAAAGUCAGAAGAACUAACAAAAACGUAAACGAGUUUUAGAAAAGUGGGUCUCUAAUAAUACACCCGACGAAGUCAGACAUCCAUUCUGAGCGUUUUUUUUCAGACAUCUAUGAAGAUAUUAGUUGUCUCUUCUUUUUUUGAUUUUAAUCUCGAGAUAUAUUGACAUGACAAAUGUAACUCGUACUGUGACAAAAUUAAAAGUCACACCCGACGGACGAACGUCGUCGUCAAAACGUAGAAACCGUUUAUGUCUUAUAGGUGGCAACAACAACUGGAGGGUCUUACAAAUGUGGAAGCAGUACGAAAUGGACGGUCAUUAACAGUUGUUACACAGUUCAGUCAUGUGUAAAAGACGACUAACGUUCUUGCCGUCGCUGGUACACUGACUUCACUCGUUUGUGCAGGUCCAGGAAAACCGUACCACUCACAGGAGGGUCGAUCUUGUCAAUCUCCACUUCGUCUCUCGUGGCGGUCUUUAUAUUUCGACGACUUUCUUUAAUGUUUUCGUGUUCUUGUUGAAUUAUAUUAGGCUUACUAGUUCGCUUUUCUUACGUUUGUUUGAGCGACCUACAAGUAGGUGACUUAUCAUCCUCACGAAAUCAUCAUCAUAGCUAUCUAAUCUCUAUAUUCACGUCUUUAAUACUUUCAUUCGGAGGACCCUAAACAGUGUGUUCCCCUUUGUUUCUCUUCUCCUUUUGCGGAUGCUCUUACUUUAUGACCUUCCAGCUGUUCACUAAAGGUAACGAGUGGAGCCGGACGAUACUUGGACACUGGCACUGUCACGGCGGGCAAGAGGAUGGGCCGCAGGAUAAGGAGGUAGGGUGCAACGAAUGUACAUUGGCACUUUUCAAUCAACGAAUGUACAGGUCUAACCAUGACGUUUCUAGUACAACGACCGUAGGGUACUUACGGUCAACACACUAACAAAGAUCGUUAAAAGCCUCGGAAUACUAGCAAUACGUAAAAACGGACGUCAAGUAUGUAUUAUAAAGGAUACAGACGGAAACCUUCCAAACGACGGUAUGAUAGCUAACUGUCACGAAAUACACAAGAAGAACUGGCAACCACCUGAGAUAUACUUAUGACGAGGUUCUUUAGUUAGGAUGGCGGGUAGCGGCGUGACUAGCGAUACCGUAAAACCCCCCGCGAAGGACCAUUAUGAUCCGCAGAUAAGACUAUAAUGACCGCUGGUAAUAUCUUAAAAUAAACACCAAAGACGUUAAAUGUGACUUUAAAUCGAUUAGUCAUAUAGUACCAAAAUGUCAAGCGUAUUACUCAUUUAUUAUAUGUAAGGUUACCCUCCUGUUUGAAAACUACGACCACUUAAGAAAUGUUAGUAAGGUUACCGUCGUGUUUGACUUUCAUAAAUACAUCCGUGUCUAGUAACGAUGUGGUCUUAUUUAACUCAUAACUCAUUUAUUCUGCGGGUCAAAAUAUUAUGUCAGAUGGCCACGAAAGUAACACCAAAGUGCCAUUAUGGCGGUACGGGAGGAAGACAAUACUAACUGUGUUCCUCACAGAAUGAACUUUAAAUGUCUUACCAUUCGCGAUAUUAAAUAACCGCUAGAACACGACAACUGACUGGGUUUGUUCCAUGACAACUUAACUCCAGAACAUUUUCAAAAAAAUUUGAGUACGUACUCAUGUUCAACUUGAUAAACAUCAUAUAGAAGUAGCAAAGAAUACUUCACCUACCCUCUUUCACUAUUGACCAGUGUCUGUAGUAAACCUUAUUACAACCUGAGUCCGUAUCACCAGGGACUAGAUUGCUCGUUUCCCUUUGGUAAAUGCCUAAACCAACACAGCGUUUAUCGGGCCGUACGAGAGUACAUUAAGAACUAGAUGGCGCCUAAUAGGAAAAGAUAUAAUUACCUUGCAGCGUGUCAAGAGAACGCGUAAGUCUUUUUUUAUCAAAACGUUGGAAAUUUAAAACUACUUCGGAAACUAUUAAGAAAAAAUAGAAGAUUAAGAGAAAACUGACACGAAUUGCAUGCUGAAUGGAUUAUAAUACUAAAACGUGGUGCCAAAGGGAAGCGACAAACAUAUACAACCCUGAUAACUAAAAAAAUUCACUAAAAGUCAAGGAGUGUUGUCUAAAGAAAACCUCAAAAAUGACUAGUCAUACAACCUCUAGACGUCUACUGUGAAGAAAUAUACGUUCACGUUUUUCUAAAGUCCAAGACAGGAGAAAAGAAACAACCUUGAUAGUCCAGCGCAGGAGAACGUUACGUUCAUAACAACUCCUGAACUCCGAGUCUAAAGUGAAAAACCCAAAAAAGAAGGCUCCUUUUUUUUUGAAUUAUAACCAUACAGGAUCUGGAAAAGUAAACUUGAAGUACUACGGGACUAUCUAUAUUGUCAAUAAAACAAAGUCAUUCCUCCUUUUUUUAACUUAAACAAACAGACUGUAAUGUAUUAGAGAUUUAUAACGCCGGCAUAGAAUAUAGAAUAGAAAAUCAAAGAGAAACGGUGAUUCGUGUUUUAAAAACAUCCGAUGCUUCGUGAUCGUAUCAUGAAUAUUAGAAGGUUAGACCAAUACGUUUUCCACUUAGACAUAGGUAAUUUGAAACAAUUUAUCAUCCAGGAGAAUUGUCAUACGGAUUUUGAUUAACAAAGAGACACAGAUAUCAUACAAUCAGGUCGAGUUACCUACAAGAACUGAUUGACGAUCGAAAUAAACCAGAAUAGACUAAGAGACCACAAUUAGGUGAGGAUGUAACGGUUUGAGUCAUACUAAUUUGUACCUCAUACAAUAUAUGAAACUACUAUAAAAGUCUAAAAUUUAUGAGGAUAUACUGUUCGUGUUAGGGACCAUGAUUACGAAUGAGAAAAAUAAAGCCUACAAGUUCACAUCGUAGAUAACUGGUUACGUUCGAGGUAGUCCUACACACAUCACAGGUAUUCAAAGAAAAACCGGUCAUGUCACUCUUUUUAUAUACCUUGCAUGUUGUUAGGAUGUACUUUGUAAGACUUGUUUCAAGAUAUCCCGGUUGAACGUAAAAGUACAGUUCGUACCGACUAAUAGUCUCCCGUUCCUUUCUACCUCAUCAUCUUAGUAACGGAUGCUACUCAAGUUGCCUAGCUACACGUGUAAUUGUUCGUAACGGACGACAGACGGAAGCGGAUGAAACUGCUCCUGCUGUCGCCCAUGUAUUGGCAACUGGGCGAUCUUCUCCACACGACCCUCAUGUUGUGUCCGACUGCAGCCGUAGUGCUGUAGUAAUCCCUCCAGCCGUUACUCUUGUACGCUACAAGUUUAACUGAUACCCCUCAAGCACCGUUACCACUUCCCCUAGUAGCUCUUACCUUCCGACUGGUAGUAAGAGGUACCUCGUCUGCUGGAGUCGAUCGGAAACUAACUUUAUAAGUAUAUGUUGUGUGAUAGAAACAAGUGUAACACGAUAUCUACUAUAGUUAUAAAAAUUGGGUUCAGUAAUAAGUAAAAUAAACACAUUUCAUUG